RNAcentral lists this ribosomal RNA (453 nucleotides) under uncultured bacterium. RNAcentral describes it as "partial 16S ribosomal RNA". It matches the Rfam family "Bacterial small subunit ribosomal RNA", at positions 355 to 822 of the family's 1533-position model. The record is from RNAcentral.
UGGGGAAUAUUGCACAAUGGGCGGAAGCCUGAUGCAGCAACGCCGCGUGAGUGAUGAAGGCCUUCGGGUUGUAAAGCUCUGUCUUUUGGGACGAUAAUGACGGUACCAAAGGAGGAAGCCACGGCUAACUACGUGCCAGCAGCCGCGGUAAUACGUAGGUGGCAAGCGUUGUCCGGAUUUACUGGGCGUAAAGGAUGCGUAGGCGGAUUUUUAAGUGAGAUGUGAAAUACCCGGGCUUAACUUGGGUGCUGCAUUUCAAACUGGGAAUCUAGAGUGCGGGAGAGGAGAAUGGAAUUCCUAGUGUAGCGGUGAAAUGCGUAGAGAUUAGGAAGAACACCAGUGGCGAAAGGCGAUUCUCUGGACCGUAACUGACGCUGAGGCAUUGAAAGCGUGGGUAGCAAACAGGAUUAGAUACCCUGGGUAGUCCACGCCGUAAACGAUGAGUACUAGGUG